GAUGAACGCUGGCGGCGUGCAUAACACAUUCAAGUCGAACGGAGUUACUGGAGAGCUUGCUCGAAGGUAACUUAGUGGCGGACGGGUGAGUAACGCGUGAGCAACCUGCCUUGGCAUGGGGGAUAACGUUUGGAAACGAACGCUAAUACCGCAUAUCGCAUAGACCUCGCAUGGGGAUUAUGCAAAAGAUUUAUUGUGCUAAGAUGGGCUCGCGUCCCAUUAGAUAGUUGGUGAGGUAACGGCCCACCAAGUCGACGAUGGGUAGCCGAACUGAGAGGUUGAACGGCCACAUUGGAACUGAGAUACGGUCCAGACUCCUACGGGAGGCAGCAGUGGGGAAUAUUGGGCAAUGGGCGAAAGCCUGACCCAGCGACGCCGCGUGAGGGAAGAAGGUCUUCGGAUUGUAAACCUUUGUKGAUAGGGACGAAGAAAAUGACGGUACCCUAUCGAGGAAGCCACGGCUAACUACGUGCCAGCAGCCGCGGUAAUACGUAGGUGGCAAGCGUUAUCCGGAUUUACUGGGUGUAAAGGGUGUGUAGGCGGGAAAGCAAGUCAGAUGUGAAAAUUAUGGGCUCAACUCAUAACCUGCGUCUGAAACUACUUUUCUUGAGAGUCGGAGAGGUAAACGGAAUUCCUGGUGUAGCGGUGAAAUGCGUAGAUAUCAGGAGGAACACCGGUGGCGAAGGCGGUUUACUGGACGACAACUGACGCUGAGACACGAAAGUGUGGGGAGCAAACAGGAUUAGAUACCCUGGUAGUCCACACUGUAAACGAUGAAUGCUAGGUGUGGGGCCGAAAGGUUCCGUGCCGCAGUUAACACAAUAAGCAUUCCACCUGGGGAGUACGGCCGCAAGGUUGAAACUCAAAGGAAUUGACGGGAGCCCGCACAAGCAGUGGAGUAUGUGGUUUAAUUCGACGCAACGCGAAGAACCUUACCAGGACUUGACAUCCCAGGAAUCCGGCGUAAUGGCUGGAGUGCCCUUCGGGGAAUCUGGUGACAGGUGGUGCAUGGUUGUCGUCAGCUCGUGUCGUGAGAUGUUGGGUUAAGUCCCGCAACGAGCGCAACCCUUACGGUUAGUUGCUACGAAAGAGCACUCUAGCCGGACUGCCGUUGACAAAACGGAGGAAGGUGGGGAYGACGUCAAAUCAUCAUGCCCCUUACGUUMUGGGCUACACACGUACUACAAUGGCGAAAACAAAGGGAAGCGAUACCGCGAGGUGGAGCAAAUCCCAUAAAAAUCGCCCCAGUUCAGACUGCAGGCUGCAACUCGCCUGCACGAAGUUGGAAUUGCUAGUAAUCGCGGAUCAGCAUGCCGCGGUGAAUACGUUCCCGGGCUUUGUACACACCGCCCGUCAAACCAUGAAAGAUGAAAACACCCGAAGCCUGUGGGCUAACCGCAAGGGGGCAGCAGUCGAAGGUGGGUUUAUUGAUUGGGG
This is a ribosomal RNA of 1437 nucleotides. It matches the Rfam family "Bacterial small subunit ribosomal RNA".